Molecule: ribosomal RNA, 2930 nt
Filed under: Escherichia coli
Lineage: Bacteria; Pseudomonadati; Pseudomonadota; Gammaproteobacteria; Enterobacterales; Enterobacteriaceae
Description: 23S ribosomal RNA
Rfam family: Bacterial large subunit ribosomal RNA
Source: RNAcentral
GGGUUGUGAGGUUAAGCGACUAAGCGUACACGGUGGAUGCCCUGGCAGUCAGAGGCGAUGAAGGACGUGCUAAUCUGCGAUAAGCGUCGGUAAGGUGAUAUGAACCGUUAUAACCGGCGAUUUCCGAAUGGGGAAACCCAGUGUGUUUCGACACACUAUCAUUAACUGAAUCCAUAGGUUAAUGAGGCGAACCGGGGGAACUGAAACAUCUAAGUACCCCGAGGAAAAGAAAUCAACCGAGAUUCCCCCAGUAGCGGCGAGCGAACGGGGAGCAGCCCAGAGCCUGAAUCAGUAUGUGUGUUAGUGGAAGCGUCUGGAAAGGCGCGCGAUACAGGGUGACAGCCCCGUACACAAAAAUGCACAUGCUGUGAGCUCGAUGAGUAGGGCGGGACACGUGGUAUCCUGUCUGAAUAUGGGGGGACCAUCCUCCAAGGCUAAAUACUCCUGACUGACCGAUAGUGAACCAGUACCGUGAGGGAAAGGCGAAAAGAACCCCGGCGAGGGGAGUGAAAAAGAACCUGAAACCGUGUACGUACAAGCAGUGGGAGCACGCUUCGGCGUGUGACUGCGUACCUUUUGUAUAAUGGGUCAGCGACUUAUAUUCUGUAGCAAGGUUAACCGAAUAGGGGAGCCGAAGGGAAACCGAGUCUUAACUGGGCGUUAAGUUGCAGGGUAUAGACCCGAAACCCGGUGAUCUAGCCAUGGGCAGGUUGAAGGUUGGGUAACACUAACUGGAGGACCGAACCGACUAAUGUUGAAAAAUUAGCGGAUGACUUGUGGCUGGGGGUGAAAGGCCAAUCAAACCGGGAGAUAGCUGGUUCUCCCCGAAAGCUAUUUAGGUAGCGCCUCGUGAAUUCAUCUCCGGGGGUAGAGCACUGUUUCGGCAAGGGGGUCAUCCCGACUUACCAACCCGAUGCAAACUGCGAAUACCGGAGAAUGUUAUCACGGGAGACACACGGCGGGUGCUAACGUCCGUCGUGAAGAGGGAAACAACCCAGACCGCCAGCUAAGGUCCCAAAGUCAUGGUUAAGUGGGAAACGAUGUGGGAAGGCCCAGACAGCCAGGAUGUUGGCUUAGAAGCAGCCAUCAUUUAAAGAAAGCGUAAUAGCUCACUGGUCGAGUCGGCCUGCGCGGAAGAUGUAACGGGGCUAAACCAUGCACCGAAGCUGCGGCAGCGACGCUUAUGCGUUGUUGGGUAGGGGAGCGUUCUGUAAGCCUGUGAAGGUGUGCUGUGAGGCAUGCUGGAGGUAUCAGAAGUGCGAAUGCUGACAUAAGUAACGAUAAAGCGGGUGAAAAGCCCGCUCGCCGGAAGACCAAGGGUUCCUGUCCAACGUUAAUCGGGGCAGGGUGAGUCGACCCCUAAGGCGAGGCCGAAAGGCGUAGUCGAUGGGAAACAGGUUAAUAUUCCUGUACUUGGUGUUACUGCGAAGGGGGGACGGAGAAGGCUAUGUUGGCCGGGCGACGGUUGUCCCGGUUUAAGCGUGUAGGCUGGUUUUCCAGGCAAAUCCGGAAAAUCAAGGCUGAGGCGUGAUGACGAGGCACUACGGUGCUGAAGCAACAAAUGCCCUGCUUCCAGGAAAAGCCUCUAAGCAUCAGGUAACAUCAAAUCGUACCCCAAACCGACACAGGUGGUCAGGUAGAGAAUACCAAGGCGCUUGAGAGAACUCGGGUGAAGGAACUAGGCAAAAUGGUGCCGUAACUUCGGGAGAAGGCACGCUGAUAUGUAGGUGAAGUCCCUCGCGGAUGGAGCUGAAAUCAGUCGAAGAUACCAGCUGGCUGCAACUGUUUAUUAAAAACACAGCACUGUGCAAACACGAAAGUGGACGUAUACGGUGUGACGCCUGCCCGGUGCCGGAAGGUUAAUUGAUGGGGUCAGCGCAAGCGAAGCUCUUGAUCGAAGCCCCGGUAAACGGCGGCCGUAACUAUAACGGUCCUAAGGUAGCGAAAUUCCUUGUCGGGUAAGUUCCGACCUGCACGAAUGGCGUAAUGAUGGCCAGGCUGUCUCCACCCGAGACUCAGUGAAAUUGAACUCGCUGUGAAGAUGCAGUGUACCCGCGGCAAGACGGAAAGACCCCGUGAACCUUUACUAUAGCUUGACACUGAACAUUGAGCCUUGAUGUGUAGGAUAGGUGGGAGGCUUUGAAGUGUGGACGCCAGUCUGCAUGGAGCCGACCUUGAAAUACCACCCUUUAAUGUUUGAUGUUCUAACGUGGACCCGUGAUCCGGGUUGCGGACAGUGUCUGGUGGGUAGUUUGACUGGGGCGGUCUCCUCCUAAAGAGUAACGGAGGAGCACGAAGGUUGGCUAAUCCUGGUCGGACAUCAGGAGGUUAGUGCAAUGGCAUAAGCCAGCUUGACUGCGAGCGUGACGGCGCGAGCAGGUGCGAAAGCAGGUCAUAGUGAUCCGGUGGUUCUGAAUGGAAGGGCCAUCGCUCAACGGAUAAAAGGUACUCCGGGGAUAACAGGCUGAUACCGCCCAAGAGUUCAUAUCGACGGCGGUGUUUGGCACCUCGAUGUCGGCUCAUCACAUCCUGGGGCUGAAGUAGGUCCCAAGGGUAUGGCUGUUCGCCAUUUAAAGUGGUACGCGAGCUGGGUUUAGAACGUCGUGAGACAGUUCGGUCCCUAUCUGCCGUGGGCGCUGGAGAACUGAGGGGGGCUGCUCCUAGUACGAGAGGACCGGAGUGGACGCAUCACUGGUGUUCGGGUUGUCAUGCCAAUGGCACUGCCCGGUAGCUAAAUGCGGAAGAGAUAAGUGCUGAAAGCAUCUAAGCACGAAACUUGCCCCGAGAUGAGUUCUCCCUGACCCUUUAAGGGUCCUGAAGGAACGUUGAAGACGACGACGUUGAUAGGCCGGGUGUGUAAGCGCAGCGAUGCGUUGAGCUAACCGGUACUAAUGAACCGUGAGGCUUAACCUUACAACGCCGAAGCUGUU